GAGAGUUGGGUAGUCCGUACGAGCGCACCUUGAUCCUUAUUUGCCAUCAUUUAGUUGAGUACUCUAGGGAGACUGCCGGUGACAAACCGGAGGAAGGUGGGGACGACGUCAAGUCAUCAUGGCCCUUACGACCAGGGGCUACACACGUGCUACAAUGGGGCGUACAAAGGGUUGCAACCCCGCGAGGGUGAGCUAAUCCCAUAAAACGUUUCGUAGUCCGGAUCGCAGUCUGCAACUCGACUGCGUGAAGUCGGAAUCGCUAGUAAUCGUGAAUCAGAAUGUCACGGUGAAUACGUUCCCGGGCCUUGUACACACCGCCCGUCACACCAUGGGAGUGGGUUGCAAAAGAAGUGGGUAUCAUAACCUUUUGGAGUGCGCUCACCACUUUGUGAUUCAUGACUGGGGUGAAGUCGUAACAAGGUAGCCGUAGGGGAACCUGCGGCUGGAUCACCUCCUU
Molecule: ribosomal RNA, 457 nt
Filed under: uncultured Gammaproteobacteria bacterium
Lineage: Bacteria; Pseudomonadati; Pseudomonadota; Gammaproteobacteria
Description: bacterial SSU rRNA
Rfam family: Bacterial small subunit ribosomal RNA
Source: RNAcentral